RNAcentral lists this ribosomal RNA (274 nucleotides) under uncultured bacterium. Its description in RNAcentral is "partial 16S ribosomal RNA". It matches the Rfam family "Bacterial small subunit ribosomal RNA", at positions 523 to 796 of the family's 1533-position model. The record is from RNAcentral.
AUACGGAGGGGGUUAGCGUUGUUCGGAAUUACUGGGCGUAAAGCGCACGUAGGCGGACUGGAAAGUUGGGGGUGAAAUCCCGGGGCUCAACCCCGGAACUGCCUCCAAAACUUCCAAUCUAGGGAUCGAGAGAGGUGAGUGGAAUUCCAAGUGUAGAGGUGAAAUUCGUAGAUAUUUGGAGGAACACCAGUGGCGAAGGCGGCUCACUGGCUCGAUACUGACGCUGAGGUGCGAAAGCGUGGGGAGCAAACAGGAUUAGAUACCCCAGUAGUCC